GAAAAUGAUGAUAGUAAUUGUCGCCCCAGUCUUACAAGCAUCAACUCUUUGAUGCUUGAUGGUGUUUGACUACUAAUAUAUCUGAUUC
Non-coding RNA from Populus trichocarpa (black cottonwood), 88 nucleotides. NCBI's taxonomy places the organism in Eukaryota, Viridiplantae, Streptophyta, Magnoliopsida, Malpighiales, Salicaceae. The record is from Rfam.